UACGUAGGGUGCAAGCGUUGUCCGGAAUUAUUGGGCGUAAAGAGCUCGUAGGCGGUCUGUCGCGUCUGCUGUGAAAACUCGGGGCUUAACCCCGGGCCUGCAGUGGGUACGGGCAGACUAGGGUGCGGUAGGGGAGACUGGAAUUCCUGGUGUAGCGGUGGAAUGCGCAGAUAUCAGGAGGAACACCGAUGGCGAAGGCAGGUCUCUGGGCCGCAACUGACGCUGAGGAGCGAAAGCAUGGGGGAGCGAACAGG
RNAcentral lists this ribosomal RNA (254 nucleotides) under uncultured bacterium. Its description in RNAcentral is "partial 16S ribosomal RNA". It matches the Rfam family "Bacterial small subunit ribosomal RNA", at positions 524 to 776 of the family's 1533-position model. The record is from RNAcentral.